AUGGGUAGGAAAUGCAAAAUACUAACAAAAUUAGGUGUACCUACUAAACCAAUGGUUGAAGAACCACUCAAAAUCUAUCACACUGCUGAAGCUUAUUACUUGGAUCAUCUUCGAUCCCUAUGUGCUCAUGCCGAAACCCCAACUAGCUUAGUUGAGGGAAAAUCUUUAGAUGAGCAUGCUUGUUAUGUGCGACACCGAAUAUCUGAAAAAGGGAAAACUUUACUGGAUCAAAUUCAUCGUUUGCAAUGCUAUGCUUGGAAUUUAUGUGAAAUAUAUGAUUAUACUUGUUGUUCUGAAGACCCUAAGAAACACCUUCCCUACCAAUUUUUGUUUAGUGAUAAUGGAAUCGUAUCCUCUUAUGCUAAGGGUGUUUAUAGUUACUAUGAUGUUCAACAAAUUGAAGAAUUUGUUGCUUUUAAGGGUGCUUACGAAAUUGCUUCUUUUAUUGAAAAGUAUGAUGCUACUCUUUACAAAUCUGAAAAAUUUGCCAUAUUUAAAUAUUGCUAUGAUAAUUAUGCUUCUAAUGCCUAUGUUGAACCAUAUAUUGAGUACUACUCCGCUAUCCAAGAAGAGACUAAUAUUUUGUAG
This 588-nucleotide ribosomal RNA is filed under the name Triticum aestivum (bread wheat). Its description in RNAcentral is "partial small subunit ribosomal RNA". The record is from RNAcentral. Lineage: Eukaryota; Viridiplantae; Streptophyta; Magnoliopsida; Poales; Poaceae.